Molecule: ribosomal RNA, 200 nt
Filed under: uncultured Methanomicrobia archaeon
Lineage: Archaea; Methanobacteriati; Methanobacteriota; Methanomicrobia
Description: partial 16S ribosomal RNA
Rfam family: Archaeal small subunit ribosomal RNA
Source: RNAcentral
UCCAGGCCCUACGGGGUGCAGCAGGCGCGAAAACUUUACAAUGCGAGAAAUCGUGAUAAGGGAACCCCGAGUGCCCGUAAAUUCGGGCUGUCCAUCAGUGCAAAAAACUGGUGAAGAAAGAGCCGGGCAAGACCGGUGCCAGCCGCCGCGGUAAUACCGGCGGCUCGAGUGGUGGCCACUAUUACUGGGCUUAAAGCGUC